AACAGGAUUAGAUACCCUGGUAGUCCACGCUGUAAACGAUGUCGACUUGGAGGUUGUGCCCUUGAGGCGUGGCUUCCGGAGCUAACGCGUCAAGUCGACCGCCUGGGGAGUACGGCCGCAAGGUUAAAACUCAAAUGAAUUGACGGGGGCCCGCACAAGCGGUGGAGCAUGUGGUUUAAUUCGAUGCAACGCGAAGAACCUUACCUACUCUUGACAUCCAGAGAAUUUGCUAGAGAUAGCUUAGUGCCUUCGGGAACUCUGAGACAGGUGCUGCAUGGCUGUCGUCAGCUCGUGUUGUGAAAUGUUGGGUUAAGUCCCGCAACGAGCGCAACCCUUAUCCUUUGUUGCCAGCACGUAAUGGUGGGAACUCAAAGGAGACUGCCGGUGAUAAACCGGAGGAAGGUGGGGAUGACGUCAAGUCAUCAUGGCCCUUACGAGUAGGGCUACACACGUGCUACAAUGGCAUAUACAAAGAGAAGCGAACUCGCGAGAGCAAGCGGACCUCAUAAAGUAUGUCGUAGUCCGGAUUGGAGUCUGCAACUCGACUCCAUGAAGUCGGAAUCGCUAGUAAUCGUAGAUCAGAAUGCUACGGUGAAUACGUUCCCGGGCCUUGUACACACCGCCCGUCACACCAUGGGAGUGGGUUGCAAAAGAAGUAGGUAGCUUAACCUUCGGGAGGGCGCUUACCACUUUGUGAUUCAUGACUGGGGUGAAGUCGUAACAAGGUAACC
This 731-nucleotide ribosomal RNA is filed under the name uncultured bacterium. Its description in RNAcentral is "bacterial SSU rRNA". It matches the Rfam family "Bacterial small subunit ribosomal RNA", at positions 771 to 1501 of the family's 1533-position model. The record is from RNAcentral.